This 67-nucleotide small RNA is filed under the name Leptospira meyeri. RNAcentral describes it as "Flavo-1 RNA". Lineage: Bacteria; Pseudomonadati; Spirochaetota; Leptospiria; Leptospirales; Leptospiraceae. The record is from RNAcentral.
GUAAAAACAAGCUGCGUGCGGAAAUCCUUUGCGUAUGCAAAGAUUGGAGCGAAUAGCCGGAAAUGUG